AUAUAUAUAUAAAUCAGCCAAAUCAGCCUUUGCCUUCUUUCCCAGCAGCUCUGGCCUUUUUUACUGCCCAAUUUCAGCAGCUUGCAUUUAUAUAUGUUGACCCCCCAAGCGCCUCUUCUUGUAUGUGUUUAUCUCUAAUUAAUUUCCCCAGUUGCGGACUUUUUUUCUUUUUUUUUUUUCUUUUUCAAACUCCAAAAAGGGACCAAUUUUCUCUAGAUUAUUCUCCCGUCUUGCUUCCUUUAAUUUGGCUGCCACUGUGAUUGAAUUCCAAAGCAAAGCCCCAAGAAUUCUUCCCUUCCUUUCUUCCCACAGCCUGCAAUGCCUGACUUUCAACGCCAACUUUUAUUUUCCCCCAAGCAGCUGCUGCCUUUUUAAUUCCCGAGCAACUCCGUUAGCGGCCUCCCAACUCCGUUACUCAAUUUAUUUCUACCAGCAGCCGUCCAAAUUCUCCACUUUUCUCCCCCUAGCCGCCGUUUUUGUUGACUCCCGAAAGAAGACUAAAUUCUCUUUUAGGUUUUUCUCCCGUUUUCCUCUUUCUCCUUUUUCUAUCUAUCUUUUAUAAAUCCCAGGGCAGCCCAUUUUCUACAACUAUUGAGGCCCAAAUAUUCUUUUUCACUUUCCAUUUAUUUGAGGCCAAUUAGCUACAAUUUAUCUUUCAAGGCCUCAAUUCCUUAUAAUUAAUGCACUUAAGUCUUUUAAUUUCUAGCACGUAGAGUUUGAUCCCAAAAUUGCAUUUUUAUCCGAUAAUNNNNN
RNAcentral lists this long non-coding RNA (753 nucleotides) under Olea europaea (common olive). Its description in RNAcentral is "long non-coding RNA (OEUR_LNC013289)". Lineage: Eukaryota; Viridiplantae; Streptophyta; Magnoliopsida; Lamiales; Oleaceae. The record is from RNAcentral.